RNAcentral lists this ribosomal RNA (458 nucleotides) under uncultured bacterium. RNAcentral's name for it is "partial 16S ribosomal RNA". It matches the Rfam family "Bacterial small subunit ribosomal RNA", at positions 338 to 795 of the family's 1533-position model. The record is from RNAcentral.
CCUACGGGCGGCAGCAGUGGGGAAUAUUGCACAAUGGGGGCAACUCUGAUGCAGCGACGCCGCGUGAGCGAAGAAGUAUUUCGGUAUGUAAAGCUCUAUCAGCAGGGAAGAAAUAGCGACCUUUGGGUCGCCAGACGGUACCUGAUUAAGAAGCCCCGGCUAACUACGUGCCAGCAGCCGCGGUAAUACGUAGGGGGCAAGCGUUGUCCGGAUUUACUGGGUGUAAAGGGAGCGUAGACGGCAGCGCAAGUCUGAAGUGAAAUGCCGGGGCUUAACCCCGGAACUGCUUUGGAAACUGUGCAGCUAGAGUGCAGGAGAGGUAAGUGGAAUUCCUAGUGUAGCGGUGAAAUGCGUAGAUAUUAGGAGGAACACCAGUGGCGAAGGCGGCUUACUGGACUGUAGCUGACGUUGAGGCUCGAAAGCGUGGGGAGCAAACAGGAUUAGAUACCCGAGUAGUC